This 71-nucleotide transfer RNA is filed under the name Loxodonta africana (African savanna elephant). It matches the Rfam family "tRNA". Rfam says of the family: Transfer RNA (tRNA) molecules are approximately 80 nucleotides in length. Lineage: Eukaryota; Metazoa; Chordata; Mammalia; Proboscidea; Elephantidae. The record is from Rfam by way of RNAcentral.
GCAGUGGUGGUUCAGUGGUAGAAUCCUGGCCUUCCAUGCCGGAGACCAGGGUUCGAUUCCCGGUUAAUACA